GCGGACAUAGCUCAGUUGGGAGAGCGUCAGACUGAAGCGGAUUACAUCCGAUUAACUUCAUUCAAUCAAUCUGAAGGUCGUGUGUUCAAUCCACACUGGCCGCA
This 104-nucleotide transfer RNA is filed under the name Colletotrichum orchidophilum. It matches the Rfam family "tRNA". From Rfam's summary of the family: Transfer RNA (tRNA) molecules are approximately 80 nucleotides in length. Their secondary structure includes four short double-helical elements and three loops (D, anti-codon, and T loops). Lineage: Eukaryota; Fungi; Ascomycota; Sordariomycetes; Glomerellales; Glomerellaceae. The record is from Rfam by way of RNAcentral.